This 254-nucleotide ribosomal RNA is filed under the name uncultured bacterium. Its description in RNAcentral is "partial 16S ribosomal RNA". It matches the Rfam family "Bacterial small subunit ribosomal RNA", at positions 524 to 776 of the family's 1533-position model. The record is from RNAcentral.
UACGGGGGGGGCAAGCGUUGUUCGGAAUUACUGGGCGUAAAGGGCGCGUAGGCGGCCAGCGCAAGUCAGUUGUGAAAUCUCCGGGCUUAACUCGGAAAGGUCAACUGAUACUGCGCGGCUAGAGUGCAGAAGGGGCAACUGGAAUUCUCGGUGUAGCGGUGAAAUGCGUAGAUAUCGAGAGGAACACCUGCGGCGAAGGCGGGUUGCUGGGCUGACACUGACGCUGAUGCGCGAAAGCCAGGGGAGCGAACGGG